This 72-nucleotide transfer RNA is filed under the name Shewanella xiamenensis. Its description in RNAcentral is "tRNA-Glu". It matches the Rfam family "tRNA". From Rfam's summary of the family: Transfer RNA (tRNA) molecules are approximately 80 nucleotides in length. Their secondary structure includes four short double-helical elements and three loops (D, anti-codon, and T loops). Further hydrogen bonds mediate the characteristic L-shaped molecular structure. tRNAs have two regions of fundamental functional importance: the anti-codon, which is responsible for specific mRNA codon recognition, and the 3' end, to which the tRNAs corresponding amino acid is attached (by aminoacyl-tRNA synthetases). tRNAs cope with the degeneracy of the genetic code in two manners: having more than one tRNA (with a specific anti-codon) for a particular amino acid; and 'wobble' base-pairing, i.e. permitting non-standard base-pairing at the 3rd anti-codon position. RNAcentral also lists the same sequence under 1 other name. The record is from RNAcentral. Lineage: Bacteria; Pseudomonadati; Pseudomonadota; Gammaproteobacteria; Alteromonadales; Shewanellaceae.
GUCCCCUUCGUCUAGAGGCCUAGGACACCGCCCUUUCACGGCGGUAACAGGGGUUCGAAUCCCCUAGGGGAU